This 253-nucleotide ribosomal RNA is filed under the name uncultured bacterium. Its description in RNAcentral is "partial 16S ribosomal RNA". It matches the Rfam family "Bacterial small subunit ribosomal RNA", at positions 524 to 776 of the family's 1533-position model. The record is from RNAcentral.
UACGGAGGGUGCGAGCGUUGUCCGGAAUCACUGGGCGUAAAGGGCGCGUAGGCGGCCUGAUAAGUAGGGGGUGAAAUCCUGCGGCUUAACCGCAGGGCUGCCUUCUAGACUGUCAGGCUAGAGCACAGUAGAGGCAGGUGGAAUUCCCGGUGUAGCGGUGGAAUGCGUAGAGAUAUGGAGGAACACCAGUGGCGAAGGCGACUUUCUGGUCUGUAACUGACACUGAGGCGCGAAAGCGUGGGGAGCAAACAGG